AGUCAAUAGAUACCCAGGUAGUCCACGCCGUAAACGAUGAGUACUAGGUGUAGGAGGUAUCGACUCCUUCUGUGCCGCAGUUAACACAAUAAGUACUCCGCCUGGGAAGUACGGUCGCAAGAUUAAAACUCAAAGGAAUUGACGGGGGCCCGCACAAGCAGCGGAGCAUGUGGUUUAAUUCGAAGCAACGCGAAGAACCUUACCUAGACUUGACAUCUCCUGAAUAGCGCAGAGAUGCGUGAAGCCCUUCGGGGCGAGGAAGACAGGUGGUGCAUGGUUGUCGUCAGCUCGUGUCGUGAGAUGUUGGGUUAAGUCCCGCAACGGGCGCAACCCUAUUAUUAGUUGCUACCAUUAAGUUGAGCACUCUAAUGAGACUGCCCGGGUUAGCCGGGAGGAAGGCGGGGAUGACGUCAAAUCAUCAUGCCCCUUAUGUCUAGGGCUACACACGUGCUACAAUGGCGAGAACAACGAGAUGCAAUACCGCGAGGUGGAGCAAAACUUAGAAAACUCAUCUCAGUU
Molecule: ribosomal RNA, 519 nt
Filed under: uncultured bacterium
Lineage: Bacteria
Description: bacterial SSU rRNA
Rfam family: Bacterial small subunit ribosomal RNA
Source: RNAcentral